UUAUCCUAGGUCUCUGGAUUUAUCUCACAGAUGGAUUCUCAGGGGAUGCAUUCUUCCUGGAACUUUGGAGGUAGUCUGUAGUUUUCUGCUGUUCUCAUCCAGCAGAGCUGAAGGUGCUCAGACUGGGUAUAUGUCCAAGUCUCAGCCGAGACUAGGUCCUUGCUGUCUUCCCUAUGCAGGGG
Long non-coding RNA from Bufo bufo (common toad), 182 nucleotides. RefSeq lists it as uncharacterized. Lineage: Eukaryota; Metazoa; Chordata; Amphibia; Anura; Bufonidae. The transcript is spliced from 3 exons. The record is from RefSeq and is a predicted model, not a curated record.